Long non-coding RNA from Platichthys flesus (European flounder), 1148 nucleotides. RefSeq lists it as uncharacterized. Lineage: Eukaryota; Metazoa; Chordata; Actinopteri; Pleuronectiformes; Pleuronectidae. The transcript is spliced from 5 exons. The record is from RefSeq and is a predicted model, not a curated record.
UGACCGACACUACAGUGUGUGUGUGCUGAGAGUGAAGGAGGGACUGGACGUCUCUCAUCCAUCUCAGUCUCAUGUGUAUCCGGGUUUUAAUGGAGGACCAGAGAGUAUAAAUACCGUCUGUGCUGCUGCCUGCGUUCAAAUCAGCAAAUCAACGCCUUUGUCCAUCGCUCCAGACCCUCAGCCAAGUUCAGUGUGCCAGAUAAAACAAGGAAAGAAGACAAUCGACAUCACCUGGGUGUCUGACGAUGGAGGCCUCACUCUGCUGCUGCCCUACCUGCUGACUCGCAGGAAGCAAUAGGCCGGAUGUAAGGUCUGAGUGUUUGUGGGAGGAGACACCGACAAGAAGGUGCUGCCGCUGAUCAAGAUGUUCCGUCUUGCUUUCCAUGACGUCAAGGUGCAUCCUGACAUCUACCAGCCUCCUCAGCCUAGGAAGAAAGGACGUCAAAGCGUUGUGCCUCUCUGCUUUAACAUUUCUACCGGGAGAAGGCUUCACCACGAUCACUGACAUGUUGAGAUGUUUAAUGCAGGUUUAGUUUGAUCGGCCCUUUCAUUAAAAGAUUCCCUUCAUCAGAUCUAGAUUUAAAACAUCUGUAAUUUCAGUUACUUGAGAUGCAGAACACUAAAAUAAUGUGGAAUAUGCAAAGAGCAAAAUGGAGAGUUUACAUUUGCAGGAACAUGUGUGUUUCCAUGUUUUCUGUAAGGAUCAGGGUCUAAAUAAAGUUCUAGUCUAAUCUUAUUAAACCUCAAUAAGUUCCUUUAACUUCCAAUAAGAAACUUACAAUAAGUACAAUAAGUAUAGAGGAACAAGGCCACACACACACACACACACAGACACACACAUGGACACAUCACGUAUAGAGUCAGUCUGAAGUUUGUCUUCUUCUCCUCUGUUAAACUUCUCUGUGGGAUUCAGUCUCUCCAUCAGAUACGUCUGAACGAGGCUCUGCAGGUUUACUCCAGAGAAGCUGCUCUCAUCGUGAUGUGAGUUCAGUCCUUCUUCUGUUUGUAGAGGGCUUGUGACAGUGUCCUUACUUACACAUAGGGAUGGGCAAAAAUACAUCAAAAUGUAUUUUGAUACAAAAUACAAAAUACCCCUCGAAUAAAUGUAUCAAAAUAAAAAAAAAUACAUCAAAAUGUAUUUUGAUACA